CUUCUUACUUCUACCAAGGAACAAACCGUAACUUAUCAAUCGAGUGAAAAAGGAGAACUAACAGGAUUGGACAGCUGAUCUUAAAGGCAAGUAAAGUGCAACCCUUUGAACUGGAUUUAAAUAAAGAAGAGAGAAGACACAACUGUCAAAAAUGUGUGCAUUCUACUAUAUAGUCAAAGGCGUCGACUCUGUGACCCAGAGAAUUAACCAUGACAGCGCUUGGAAAAAUUCCUACCUUUCAUGAAACACCCCACUUUUGGAAUUUUUUUCAUUAUGUUGAAAAGUAUCUGUGAUUUAAUCACAAAAAUGUAUGGAAAUAAUAAAAAUGACCUUAAAAUUGAAUGGGAUUAUUUGUAGACUAAUAUGACCCAUUUUGUUGCUUCAUUUUUCUUUCCAUAUUAAAGACUAUUCUAAACUCUAAUAUUUUCAAUAAAUGAGACUGAAAUCCAA
Long non-coding RNA from Ochotona princeps (American pika), 450 nucleotides. RefSeq lists it as uncharacterized. The transcript is spliced from 2 exons. NCBI's taxonomy places the organism in Eukaryota, Metazoa, Chordata, Mammalia, Lagomorpha, Ochotonidae. The record is from RefSeq and is a predicted model, not a curated record.